Molecule: ribosomal RNA, 280 nt
Filed under: uncultured bacterium
Lineage: Bacteria
Description: partial 16S ribosomal RNA
Rfam family: Bacterial small subunit ribosomal RNA
Source: RNAcentral
GUGGAUUAGAUACCCUGGUAGUCCACGCCGUAAACGAUGGAUACUAGCUGUUGGAAGCAAUUUCAGUGGCUAAGCGAAAGUGAUAAGUAUCCCACCUGGGGAGUACGUUCGCAAGAAUGAAACUCAAAGGAAUUGACGGGGGCCCGCACAAGCGGUGGAGCAUGUGGUUUAAUUCGAUGAUACGCGAGGAACCUUACCAAGGCUUAAAUGUAGAUUGACCGGUUUGGAAACAGAUCUUUCGCAAGACAAUUUACAAGGUGCUGCACGGCCGUCGCCAACU